Monopterus albus (swamp eel) is the source of this 574-nucleotide long non-coding RNA. RefSeq lists it as uncharacterized. The record is from RefSeq and is a predicted model, not a curated record. Lineage: Eukaryota; Metazoa; Chordata; Actinopteri; Synbranchiformes; Synbranchidae. The transcript has 4 exons.
UAAUGCAACACUGUAGGAACUGAGACAAACGUGACUAUUGCAAAAAGGCAUGAACCUGAGGUUUUGUGCUAGUUGACCCCUGAGCUCCACCUCAUCUGUGUCUGAAGAGGCUUCACAUGCAUCAUAGUCUGGAUCUUGGUGGUUGUCAAACCACUUGAUCCAUGUGGUCUGGCCUGUGUGAUGACAAAGUGAAGGCUGACUGUAAACCCUGGAGUGUGUUCUAUUAGCUCUAGCUGACCCGGUCAGUGUUUGAAUAUUCAUCCUAAUGUUUCAUGUGCAUAUUUGACUUAACGUUCAUUAUUUCUUCAGGUUACAAAUGCUCUUGAGACGUUGUUGAACAGACGAGAUCAACUGAGGAAUGACCUGGAUUUCUCACACUGACCUCGCUGUGAAGCCCUUUGGCCCUGUGGAGAUGGCAAAGCUGUGUCUGCUUUAAAGUGGUGACCGGUGCCUGCAGACAACUGACUAUCAAGUUUUGUGAUGGUUCUUAUUUAACCUUGAGAGAGGGACAUUUUGUGCCAUAUUUCUUUUUCAUGCCAUUUUGGCUGUGUUCAAUAAAUAUAGCUCAAAUUUG